UAGGGAAUAUUGGGCAAUGGACGCAAGUCUGACCCAGCCAUGCCGCGUGCAGGAUGAAGGCGUUAUGCGUUGUAAACUGCUUUUAUACAGGAAGAAACGACUCUUGCGAGAGGCAUUGACGGUACUGUAUGAAUAAGCACCGGCUAACUCCGUGCCAGCAGCCGCGGUAAUACGGAGGGUGCAAGCGUUGUCCGGAUUUAUUGGGUUUAAAGGGUGCGUAGGCGGGUAGGUAAGUCAGUGGUGAAAUCCUGGAGCUCAACUCCAGAACUGCCAUUGAUACUAUCUAUCUUGAAUAUUGUGGAGGUAAGCGGAAUAUGUCAUGUAGCGGUGAAAUGCUUAGAUAUGACAUAGAACACCCAUUGCGAAGGCAGCUUACUACGCAUAUAUUGACGCUGAGGCACGAAAGCGUGGGGAUCAAACAGGAUUAGAUACCCUGGUAGUCCACGCCCUAAACGAUGGAUACUCGACAUACGCGAUACACUGUGUGUGUCUGAGCGAAAGCAUUAAGUAUCCCACCUGGGAAGUACGUUCGCAAGAAUG
Molecule: ribosomal RNA, 540 nt
Filed under: uncultured Cytophagales bacterium
Lineage: Bacteria; Pseudomonadati; Bacteroidota; Sphingobacteriia; Sphingobacteriales
Description: bacterial SSU rRNA
Rfam family: Bacterial small subunit ribosomal RNA
Source: RNAcentral